AAGCUUAAGAAAAAUGGUAUUUUUUUUACUGAGGAAUAGAUUAUUUAUCAUAAAAUCAUGACUCAGAAAAGGGUACCUUGUCUUAAAUUUACCCAGUACAUAAAAUUUAUCAGAUAUUUUUAGAAUGCCAGAUUAUCAGAAUUUAACACAUUAGUUUAAAAUUUAACCAGUAGUAACAAAGAAAUAAGUCAAUGGAAACUUCUUUAAUUAUCUAAGAAGCAUUGCUUAUAUUAAUUAUGUAAUACAUGGACAUUUAUUCAUUUAUUUUACAUUUAUUCAAAAUAUAUUAAAAGCCUCUAACAUUUGUUUUCCUAAUGUUAAUCAGCCAUUAUCUGUAGUUAGGAAAGACUGAGCCAAAAAUGACUAUUCACCAUUACAAAGAAUGAAACUAGAAAACCUGAAGAAAGAUCCAUUUUCCAAAACCUGAAGGCUGCUCUACUAUGGAAACACUUUGAAUUUUUAUGAGACUGAAGUAUAAAUCAAGAAUAAAUUGACGAGGUCUUUAAUGGUCUCUAUAUAGAGUUGUCAAGCCAGAAUUAUGUAUACAUUUGUUUUU
This is a long non-coding RNA of Phyllostomus discolor (pale spear-nosed bat), 556 nucleotides long. RefSeq lists it as uncharacterized. The record is from RefSeq and is a predicted model, not a curated record. Lineage: Eukaryota; Metazoa; Chordata; Mammalia; Chiroptera; Phyllostomidae. The transcript has 2 exons.